Homo sapiens (human) is the source of this 1973-nucleotide long non-coding RNA. Ensembl annotates it as long intergenic non-protein coding RNA 836. The record is from Ensembl. NCBI's taxonomy places the organism in Eukaryota, Metazoa, Chordata, Mammalia, Primates, Hominidae.
ACAGUGAAACGAGCUUGCAUGAGAGCAUCCCAGGACCACUGAACAUUCAGAGAACAGCCAGUUGUAAGGGGUAAAAUAAAUUGGAGAAGAGAACAUCCACAUGGAUUAAGUCCCAAGCUCACCCUUUGUUAGUGAGAAUGUAGUCACGUGGCCAUACCUACUACAAGAUGAAGUCUCACUCUUGUUGCCCAGGCUGGAGUGCAGUGGUGUGAUCUCGGCUCACCACAACCUCCACCUCACAGGUUCAAGCGAUUCUCCUGCCUUAGCCUCCCGAGUAGCUGGGAUUACAGUUCAAACUGUUGUUACGAGUGUGUCAUAACCAUUUGGUUAUACCUGAUUCCAGGCUUCAUCAUUUACAGCUGUAAGUGAUAUAAGACAGAGUUUCCCCAUGUUGGCCAGGAUGGUCUGAAUCUCUUGACCUCGUGAUCCACCCGCCUCAGCCUCCCAAAGUGCUGGGAUUACAGGCGUGAGCCACCGUGCCCGGCCUCAGGUCUCAAAUUCAGGUUUUUGCUGCUAUUGGCAGUGGCUUGUUGCAAAUAUUUAUUGAAGAUUUCAAGAGUAGUAACUGAAAAACCGUAUAAGACUCAGCCUGCCUGCACCCAGGUGAAAUAAACAGCAUUUUUGCUCACACAUAGCCUGUUUGGUGGUCUCUUCACAUGGAUGCGCAUGAAAUUUGGUGCUGUGACUCGGAUCCGGAGACCUCCCUUGGGAGAUAAAAUCCCCUGUCCUCCUGCUCUUUGCUCCGUGAAAAAGAUCCACCUACGACCUCAAGUCCUCAGACCCACCAGCCCAAGGAACAUCUCACCAAUUUUAAAUCAGCAAAAUGACAUGAAUGACUGAAAAAGCAUGUGGAGCACAAGACUCAAGAACUAAGUGAAAGGACUCACACUUCCUGAUUUCAAGUAAAGCUACAGCAAUCAAGACGUGGCAUUGAUGUAAGAAUAGACACAUCAAUGAAUGAAACAGAAUACAUCUUCCAGAAAUAAAUUCACACAAAUAUAGUCAAGAGGUUUUUUGUGUGCUAAAGUGUAUAUAAUAUUUACCAUUUUAACCAUUUUUAAGUGCACAGUUCAGAAGCAUUAAGAAUAAACAAUGUUGUAUAACCAUCACCAUUAUCCAGUUCCAGAAUUUUUCAUCACCUCACACAGAAACUCUGUACCUAUUAUCAACAAUAAAUUUUCAUUCCCCCCUUGCCCUCAGUCUCUGGUAACCACUAUUGAACUUUCUGUUUCUAUGAAUUUGCCCCUUCUCAGUGCCUAAUAUGAGUGGAAUAAUACAAUAUGGGUCCUUUGUGCCUAGUUUAUUUCACUUACUGUAAUGUUUUCAAGGUUCAUCCAUGUUAUAAUAUGGAUCAGAAUUUUAUUUCUUUUCAAGCAUGAAUAAUAGUCCAUGGUAUGUCUAUACCACAUUGUUUAUCCAUUCAUCAGCUGAUGGAUAUUUGGGGGUUGUUUCUAUCUUUUGGCUAUUGUAAAUGAUGAUGUUAUGAACAAUGGUGUAUAAUGUCUGUUUGAGCACUGCUUUGAAUUGUUUGGGGUAUAUACUUAGGAGCGGAAUUACUGGAUCAUAUGUCAAUUCUAUGUUUAAUUUUUGAGGAACUGUCGAGCUGUCUUUCACAGCAGCUGCAUAAUUUUACAUUCCCACCACAAUGCAUAAGAGCUUCAGUUUCUCAAAAUCUUUACCAACAUUUAUUUUUCUUUUUAAAAAUAUAUAAUAGCCAUACUAAUAGUAUAAAGUAAUAUUUCAUUGUGCAUUUGAUUUGCAUUUCCCUAAUGAUAACUGAUGUUGAGCAUCUUUUCACGUGCUUGUUGACCAUUUGUAUAUCUUCUUUUGAGAUAUGUCUAAUCAAGUCCUUUGUCCAUUUUUUAAUUGGGCUGGGUAUUAUUCUUCUGUUAUUGUUGAGUUGCAGGAGUUCUUUAUAUAUUCUGCAUAAAAGUUCCUUAUCAUAUAUUGAUUUUCAAAAUCUCUCUCCUAUU